AUUGAACGCGGCGGCAUGCUUUACACAUGCAAGUCGGACGGCAGCACAGAGAAGCUUGCUUCUUGGGUGGCGAGUGGCGAACGGGUGAGUAACAUAUCGGAACGUACCGAGCAGUGGGGGAUAACUAAUCGAAAGAUUAGCUAAUACCGCAUAUAUUCUGAGGAAGAAAGCAGGGGACCAUUUAGCCUGCGCUGUUUGAGCGGCCGAUAUCUGAUUAGCUAGUUGGUGGGGUAAAGGCCUACCAAGGCGACGAUCAGUAGCGGGUCUGAGAGGAUGAUCCGCCACACUGGGACUGAGACACGGCCCAGACUCCUACGGGAGGCAGCAGUGGGGAAUUUUGGACAAUGGGCGCAAGCCUGAUCCAGCCAUGCCGCGUGUCUGAAGAAGGCCUUCGGGUUGUAAAGGACUUUUGUCAGGGAAGAAAAGGGCGGGGUUAAUACCCCUGUCUGA
Molecule: ribosomal RNA, 450 nt
Filed under: Neisseria mucosa
Lineage: Bacteria; Pseudomonadati; Pseudomonadota; Betaproteobacteria; Neisseriales; Neisseriaceae
Description: bacterial SSU rRNA
Rfam family: Bacterial small subunit ribosomal RNA
Source: RNAcentral